RNAcentral lists this ribosomal RNA (498 nucleotides) under uncultured bacterium. RNAcentral describes it as "partial 16S ribosomal RNA". It matches the Rfam family "Bacterial small subunit ribosomal RNA", at positions 30 to 523 of the family's 1533-position model. The record is from RNAcentral.
AUUGAACGCUGGCGGCAUGCCUUACACAUGCAAGUCGAACGGUAACAGGUCUUCGGAUGCUGACGAGUGGCGAACGGGUGAGUAAUGCAUCGGAACGUGCCCAGUAGUGGGGGAUAGCCCGGCGAAAGCCGGAUUAAUACCGCAUACGACCUGAGGGUGAAAGGGGGGGAUCGCAAGACCUCUCGCUAUUGGAGCGGCCGAUGUCAGAUUAGCUAGUUGGUGGGGUAAAGGCCUACCAAGGCAACGAUCUGUAGUCGGUCUGAGAGGACGACCAGCCACACUGGGACUGAGACGCGGCCCAGACUCCGACGGGAGGCAGCAGUGGGGAAUUUUGGACAAUGGGCGCAAGCCUGAUCCAGCAAUGCCGCGUGCAGGAAGAAGGCCUUCGGGUUGUAAACUGCUUUUGUCAGGGAAGAAAUCUUCUGGGUUAAUACCUCGGGAGGAUGACGGUACCUGAAGAAUAAGCACCUACUAACUACGUGCCAGCCGCCGCCGUAA